AUGGCGAUCAGCUUCGGUUGCUCGGCAAGUACAACGACAAAGCUGACAUGGAUCCUGGCGCUGCUGCUCAUCCUGGUCACCAUGAUCCAAGUCCAUGGCCAGUCUUCUACCUCUGGGUAUGUAAACAUCGAUUGUGGAUUCACAAACAGUAGUCCCUACAACGACACCCUCACAGGACUCGUGUUCCUUCCUGACCUUGAAUUUGUCGAUGGCGGUGCGAGCAACAAUAUUUCAGCAGCACUCAUGGCUGAUGCCGUAUAUGAGAACCAAAAGGUCUUGAGGAGCUUCUCUCAUGGCUCGCGGAAUUGCUACACGCUGCCAUCCGCCGCUGGUAAAAAGUUUUUGCUGAGGGCUAUGUUUACCUACGGGAACUACGAUGGGCUGAACCGGACUACGGAUGGGUCUCUGUUUCUGUUUGGACUCCAUAUCGGUGUCAAUUUCUGGGAGGCGGUAAACUUGACAAAUACGGAUCCAUCAAGCACAAUAUGGAAGGAGGUGCUCACCGUUGCUCCGGCCAACAACCUGUCGGUCUGUCUGAUAAACUUCGGUACAGGGACUCCGUUCGUGUCUUCGUUGGAGCUGAGGCCACUUGAAGAUUUGAUGUAUCCUUUCGUGAAUACUUCGGUGUCAAUCAGCUACUUUAGACGAAUCAGAUUUGGUCAAUCCACUGAAUUUAUCACAAGAUAUCCAUUGGACCCGUACGACCGGUUCUGGGAGGGCUGGUCUUUCUCCUACAACGCCUACCCCUGGAUCGCCCUAAACACUAGCAAUCAAGUAAGGCCGCUACCCGGUGACAAAGCCUUCCAGGUACCGGAGGGCAUCCUCCGGCGGGCCUCAACCCUAGACGCAAAUUUCUCCUUCUUCGAGAUCAAUGUGACAGUGGGUCCCAACCUGGACACCAAGAACCUGCAGCUUCUUCCCAUCUUCCAUUUUGCUGAGAUCAACAGCAGCAACCCGAGCAGGAGAUUUGACAUCUACAGCGACAACGACUUGCUAUUCUCAGACUUCUCACCGUCACGAUUCCAGGUGGACAGCAUGCACCAGAAUGGGCGGUUUUUGAACAACCCUGCUGCGAUCUUCCGCCUGAACAGGACACGCAGAUCGAGGCUCCCACCGCUCAUCAACGCGUUUGAGGUGUACUCGCUCGUUCGGAUGGAUAACCUCACCACUGACUCCGACGAUGUCAUUUACAUGAAGGAAGUCAAGAAACACUACAAUUUGGCACGAAUAAACUGGAAUGGAGAUCCAUGCUCCCCAAGAGAGUAUUCGUGGGAAGGUUUGACUUGCGACUACUCUAAGAGCAACCAGAAUCCGAUGAUUGUCGCAGUAAAUCUGUCUACCAGCGGACUGAAAGGUGGAUUAGUCAUAUCAUUCAUGAACAUGGUAUCACUGGAAAACUUGGAUUUAUCACACAACAAUUUGACAGGAGCUAUUCCAGACUACCAAAUAAAGUCACUCAAAGUUCUCGAUUUGUCAUAUAACCAGCUUGAUGGGCCAAUCCCGGAUUCUAUUCUUCAAAGAUCUCAGGCUGGUCUGCUUGACUUAAGAUUAGAAGGCAAUCCCAUAUGCUCAAAAGUCAAAGAUACGUACUGUUCAAAUAAGAAGAAGAAGACCACAUCUACUGUGCUCAUCGCAGUGAUAGUUCCUGUGGUACUGGUAUCCCUCCUAGUAGUGAUGGGCAUACUCUGGAAGUUUUACUGGAAAGGGAAGUCAGGAGACGAUGAAGAUUAUGCUAUGUAUGAAGAGGAAACUCCCCUACAUAUUGAUAUCAGACGGUUCACAUACGCAGAGCUGAAAGUCAUAACUAACAACUUCCAAUCAAUCAUCGGAAAAGGAGGUUUUGGUAUGGUUUAUCAUGGCACACUGGAAAAUGGUGAUGAGGUAGCUGUUAAGGUGCUUAUGGAGACAUCAAUAGCAGAAUCAACAGACUUCCUCCCUGAGGUGCAAACUUUGUCCAAAGUUCAUCACAAGAAUCUCGUGACUUUGCAAGGAUAUUGCCAGAACAAGAAGUGCCUUGCACUCGUUUAUGAUUUCAUGCCCAGAGGAAAUCUUCAACAGCUUCUAAAAGGAGGAGAUGAUUAUAGUUUGACUUGGGAACAGCGACUUUAUAUUGCCCUUGAUGCUGCACAAGGACUGGAGUAUCUACACGAGUCAUGCACCCCAUCAAUAGUGCACAGAGAUGUGAAGACCCCAAACAUCCUGCUGGACAAGAAUUUCGUGGGGGUCAUAUCUGAUUUUGGGCUUUCACGGGCCUUUAAUGAUGCUCACACACACAUAUCUACUGUUGCUGCUGGCACUCUUGGCUACCUCGACCCUGAGUACCAUGCAACUUUCCAACUCACUGUCAAGACAGAUGUUUACAGCUUCGGAAUCGUGCUCUUGGAGAUCAUCACCGGCCAAUCCCCAGUAUUUAUGGACCCUCAAACCGUCCACCUACCGAAUUGGGUGCGGCAAAAGAUAGCUAAAGGCAGCAUUCGUGAUGUUGUAGACAAGAAGCUGCUGGAUCAAUACGAUGCCAGUUCCCUGCAGGGUGCGGUGGACCUUGCCCUGAACUGCGUCGAAAAUGCAGCCAUCGACAGGCCCACCAUGACAGAGGUUGUUUCAAGGCUCAAAACGUGGUUGCCAGCGGUUUCAAGCGACAAGCAGUCUGCUUCUGGGACUCCUCGACGCAAGUACUCCCUGAAUACUGAAAUGCCAAAGCAGUUCCAGUUGAUGAUUUCAGGAAAUCAUAAGCCACAGCUACGAAAGGGCAGAAACGCAAAGCACGGGACAUACCUAACCCUCGUCGACCGCCGUGGGCAGCUCCUCGACUGGGCGAGCGCGCUGCAAUGCAUCCUCCAUCUCCGCGACUGCGGCGGCGGCCUGGUGGGAGUGCGGGGCACCGGGAUGGCCUCUAGUCGCCCGCCGCGGGCAGUUUCUCGAAUCGGCGGCGGUGCGCUGCAGUGUGCAGUGGCUCCAUGUCCCGCGACUGUAGUGGUGGGGACUACUAGGAUCUGA
This 2997-nucleotide ribosomal RNA is filed under the name Triticum aestivum (bread wheat). RNAcentral's name for it is "partial small subunit ribosomal RNA". Lineage: Eukaryota; Viridiplantae; Streptophyta; Magnoliopsida; Poales; Poaceae. The record is from RNAcentral.